AUUGAACGCUGGCGGCAGGCCUAACACAUGCAGGUCGAGCGGUAACACAGGGAGCUUGCUCUCGGGUGACGAGCGGCGGACGGGUGAGUAAUGUCUGGGAAACUGCCUGAUGGAGGGGGAUAACUACUGGAAACGGUAGCUAAUACCGCAUAACGUAGCAAGACCAAAGAGGGGGACCUUCGGGCCUCUUGCCAUCAGAUGUGCCCAGAUGGGAUUAGCUAGUAGGUGGGGUAACGGCUCACCUAGGCGACGAUCCCUAGCUUGUCUGAGAGGAUGACCAGCCACACUGGAACUGAGACACGGUCCAGACUCCUACGGGAGGCAGCAGUGGGGAAUAUUGCACAAUGGCGCAAGCCUGAUGCAGCCAUGCCGCGUGUAUGAAGAAGGCCUUCGGGUUGUAAAGUACUUUCAGCGGGGAGGAAGGUGUUGAGGUUAAUAACCUCAGCAAUUGACGUUACCCGCAGAAGAAGCACCGGCUAACUCCGUGCCAGCCGCCGCAGUAA
This 503-nucleotide ribosomal RNA is filed under the name uncultured bacterium. Its description in RNAcentral is "partial 16S ribosomal RNA". It matches the Rfam family "Bacterial small subunit ribosomal RNA", at positions 30 to 523 of the family's 1533-position model. The record is from RNAcentral.